UGGCCACAUCACAUUGAAACAACGGUUCCCUUAUGAUUUCCAAAGUUAAGCAAAGUUGAGCCUGGUCAGUACCUAGAUGGGUGACUGCUUGGAAAUACCAGGUGCUAUA
Non-coding RNA from Acanthosepion pharaonis, 109 nucleotides. The record is from the annotation of a GenBank genome assembly. Lineage: Eukaryota; Metazoa; Mollusca; Cephalopoda; Sepiida; Sepiidae.